This 629-nucleotide long non-coding RNA is filed under the name Homo sapiens (human). RNAcentral describes it as "non-protein coding lnc-PPIL1-2:2". Lineage: Eukaryota; Metazoa; Chordata; Mammalia; Primates; Hominidae. The record is from RNAcentral.
AUCCCUCUUACCGGGUCUCCUUCUCGGGACUCCCUUCAGUCCACUUACCCCGUUUCUGCCCCCCAGGCCUUCUCUGGGCAGUGACUGUGAGGGCUGACAGGAAAGGCAUGUGCAGCGUGCUUGUGAGGAGCUCAGCACAGAGGGUGGGGUGAGGGCAUGUGUUGCUGAAGUCUGCAUCCUGAGGUGCCUGUGGCAAACCACUCUUCCCUUCUGUCUCCUCAGUUCAGCCAGGCCCUGGCCAUCCGGAGCUAUACCAAGUUCGUGAUGGGGAUUGCAGUGAGCAUGCUGACCUACCCCUUCCUGCUAGUUGGCGACCUCAUGGCUGUGAACAACUGCGGGCUGCAAGCUGGGCUCCCCCCUUACUCCCCAGUGUUCAAAUCCUGGAUUCACUGCUGGAAGUACCUGAGUGUGCAGGGCCAGCUCUUCCGAGGCUCCAGCCUGCUUUUCCGCCGGGUGUCAUCAGGAUCAUGCUUUGCCCUGGAGUAACCUGAAUCAUCUAAAAAACACGGUCUCAACCUGGCCACCGUGGGUGAGGCCUGACCACCUUGGGACACCUGCAAGACGACUCCAACCCAACAACAACCAGAUGUGCUCCAGCCCAGCCGGGCUUCAGUUCCAUAUUUGCCAUG